RNAcentral lists this ribosomal RNA (497 nucleotides) under uncultured bacterium. RNAcentral's name for it is "partial 16S ribosomal RNA". It matches the Rfam family "Bacterial small subunit ribosomal RNA", at positions 28 to 507 of the family's 1533-position model. The record is from RNAcentral.
GACGAACGCUGGCGGCGUGCCUAAUACAUGCAAGUUGAGCGCUGAAGGUUGGUACUUGUACCAACUGGAUGAGCAGCGAACGGGUGAGUAACGCGUGGGGAAUCUGCCUUUGAGCGGGGGACAACAUUUGGAAACGAAUGCUAAUACCGCAUAAAAACUUUAAACACAAGUUUUAAGUUUGAAAGAUGCAAUUGCAUCACUCAAAGAUGAUCCCGCGUUGUAUUAGCUAGUUGGUGAGGUAAAGGCUCACCAAGGCGAUGAUACAUAGCCGACCUGAGAGGGUGAUCGGCCACAAUGGGACUGAGACACGGCCCAAACUCCUACGGGAGGCAGCAGUAGGGAAUCUUCGGCAAUGGACGAAAGUCUGACCGAGCAACGCCGCGUGAGUGAAGAAGGUUUUCGGAUAGUAAAACUCUGUUGGUAGAGAAGGACGUUGGUGAGAGUGGAAAGCUCAUCAAGUGACGGUAACUACCCAGAAAGGGACGGCUAACUACGUG